This 1576-nucleotide long non-coding RNA is filed under the name Carica papaya (papaya). RNAcentral's name for it is "long non-coding RNA (CPAP_LNC003303)". Lineage: Eukaryota; Viridiplantae; Streptophyta; Magnoliopsida; Brassicales; Caricaceae. The record is from RNAcentral.
GAGGAAACCAGAAUUUUCUCAACAGAGGUCGACGCCCAAUCCACCUUACACAUGUCUCUUGGUCAUAAGGUAUUUAUCUUCUUCUGUCAAUGUUAUCGCUGCUACCUCUUCCUCUUCUCUAUGCGGAUUCUGUUUUGAUUAGGUUUCAGACAGUUUCUUGAUCAAGAUCCCAGGUACGUGAAUCUUGAAGUUAUCAUUGAUAUUACGUUGUCGUUGAUUCGGUUAGUUUUGUUCCUCCCAGUUUCGUCGACUGGCGCUCGUCUUAAAUAUUUUUGAAUUUCCAACAAUAUUCGCAUGAGUUUUGUCUAUAGUAGUCAGGUGCCAAAUAUGUUUUCAGAUAUUUUCUUGAUCGAAGACAACAGGUUCGUGAAUCUUGGAUCUUUUUUUUGUUCGAAUUUAUCAGUCUAUUGUUUUCUUCUAUUCUAUCAUUGAUAUUGAACAUAUUAAAUUCGGUUAACUUCGUUCCUCCCAAUCUCGUCAACUGGCUCUCCAGUUGGUGCUCCUCUUAAAUAUAUUCUUUAAUCUCUCGCAACAUUCGCUUAAAUUUUGUCAACCGAAGCGGAAGCCCGCUAUGUUGUUAUCUUGCUAUCGCUUUUUCUUUCCUGCUGGUUGUUUUGAUUCCUGUCAUAUGUUUUCUUUAUCUAGACCGCAGGUACGUUAAUUUUUCUUUUUUUUUUUUACCCUUGUCCGGAGUUCUCAUUGUUUUGUUUUGUUUUUAUUAUUGAGACUCCAUGUUGAAUUGUUAGUGGAAUCCUGAUGUUCCACCUCCCAAAAUCCUCUUAAGUUAUCUUUAAUUUCUCACAAAAUUCGCUUGUACUCCCGAAGCUCUUUUCCUCUUUUUGGUUAUCUUUAAGGUCACAACUUCAAGUUUCUCCACAUCUUAAGAGCGGUAUCCGAUUUGGUUCCUAAUAACGAGAUGCAGUCCACUGUUUGUGUUGCAUCAAGAACCCCGCUCUUAGGAAUUGUUAUGACGCUUAAACCCAAGAUUCUCUGGGCUUUAUUCUGGUUCCGGUAGUAUACAAGAUUCCAUCGUUCUUUGGCCGGUUUUCAUACUUAGGGAUCUUCUUUCAUGUGAUUUAUGGUAUCAUAAGUAGAAAUCAGUUGACCGGAUGCUUGACUGUGCACCAAAAUACUGUUAGGUGGACUGUGAUGUUCCCUUCUAGUUAUGACUUUAGAAGGUUAAUAGAAGUUGGGAAAAUUCAAACUUACACUUAGCAUUUUCUUCAAUAUAUUAUAUUUCUUAUCUUUUUUCUUAUUAUAAUUAUUUAUUCGAAUAAACAAGUUGAUUGAUACUUGUUAGUAUUUGAAGCAAAGAAAAAUUCAAGGUUACUUGAUGAUAAAAGCCGUAAGAACUUGUGGGUUUUUGGUGGCUCAACUUAUUUUCAAGAGUUUCUGCAUCUCAAUUUUUAGUUUAAAAUGAAGACUGGCUCUUUGAAUAAAGAUUCUUGACAAAGGUCUAUUUGAUGAUAAAAGUGAGAAGGGCUUAAUUAAGGUUUUGAGGAGAUGGAAUUUACUAGCAGGAGCCAGUUUUCUGUUUAAACUAAAACUGGAGAUGCAGUAAUACUUGGAAACUCGA